Molecule: ribosomal RNA, 273 nt
Filed under: Escherichia coli
Lineage: Bacteria; Pseudomonadati; Pseudomonadota; Gammaproteobacteria; Enterobacterales; Enterobacteriaceae
Description: partial 16S ribosomal RNA
Rfam family: Bacterial small subunit ribosomal RNA
Source: RNAcentral
AAAUUGAAGAGUUUGAUCAUGGCUCAGAUUGAACGCUGGCGGCAGGCCUAACACAUGCAAGUCGAACGGUAACAGGAAGAAGCUUGCUUCUUUGCUGACGAGUGGCGGACGGGUGAGUAAUGUCUGGGAAACUGCCUGAUGGAGGGGGAUAACUACUGGAAACGGUAGCUAAUACCGCAUAACGUCGCAAGACCAAAGAGGGGGACCUUCGGGCCUCUUGCCAUCGGAUGUGCCCAGAUGGGAUUAGCUAGUAGGUGGGGUAACGGCUCACCU